RNAcentral lists this ribosomal RNA (543 nucleotides) under uncultured archaeon. RNAcentral's name for it is "bacterial SSU rRNA". It matches the Rfam family "Archaeal small subunit ribosomal RNA", at positions 326 to 869 of the family's 1478-position model. The record is from RNAcentral.
CGGGGUGCAGCAGGCGCGAAAACUUUACAAUGCGGGAAACCGCGAUAAGGGGACCCCGAGUGCCAGCACCUAGUGCUGGCUGUCCAGCUGUUCAAAUAACAGUUGUUAGCAAGGGCCGGGCAAGACCGGUGCCAGCCGCCGCGGUAACACCGGCGGCCCGAGUGGUAGCCGUUAUUAUUGGGUUUAAAGGGUCCGUAGCCGGCCUAUUAAGUCUCUUGGGAAAUCUGGCGACUUAAUCGUCAGCCGUCCAAGAGAUACUGGUAGGCUUGGGACCGGGAGAGGUGGGAGGUACUCCAGGGGUAGGGGUGAAAUCUCGUAAUCCUUGGGGGACCACCGAUGGCGAAGGCAUCCCACCAGAACGGGUCCGACGGUGAGGGACGAAAGCUGGGGGCACGAACCGGAUUAGAUACCCGGGUAGUCCCAGCCGUAAACGAUGCUCGCUAGGUGUCAGGUGCGGUGCGACCGCAUCUGGUGCCGCAGUGAAAACUUGAAGCGAGUCACCUGGGAAGUACGGUCGCAAGGCUGAAACUUAAAGGAAUUGGC